RNAcentral lists this ribosomal RNA (497 nucleotides) under uncultured bacterium. Its description in RNAcentral is "partial 16S ribosomal RNA". It matches the Rfam family "Bacterial small subunit ribosomal RNA", at positions 28 to 507 of the family's 1533-position model. The record is from RNAcentral.
GAUGAACGCUGGCGGCGUGCCUAAUACAUGCAAGUCGAGCGAACAGACGAGGAGCUUGCUCCUCUGACGUUAGCGGCGGACGUGUGAGUAACACGUGGAUAACCUACCUAUAAGACUGGGAUAACUUCGGGAAACCGGAGCUAAUACCGGAUAAUAUAUUGAACCGCAUGGUUCAAUAGUGAAAGACGGUUUUGCUGUCACUUAUAGAUGGUUCCGCGCCGCAUUAGCUGAUUGGUAAGGUAACGGCUUACCAAGGCAACGAUGCGUAGCCGACCUGAGAGGGUGAUCGGCCACACUGGAACUGAGACGCGGUCCAGACUCCUACGGGAGGCAGCGGUAGGGAAUCUUCCGCAAUGGGCGAAAGCCUGACGGAACAACGCCGCGUGAGUGAUGAAGGUCUUCGGAUCGUAAAACUCUGUUAUUAGGGAAGAGCAAAUGUGUAAGUAACUAUGCACGUCUUGACGGUACCUAAUCAGAAAGCCACGGCUAACUACGUG